Molecule: small RNA, 174 nt
Filed under: Chrysemys picta bellii (western painted turtle)
Lineage: Eukaryota; Metazoa; Chordata; Testudines; Emydidae
Description: TUC338 (ENSCPBG00000019550.1)
Source: RNAcentral
CCAAGAGUGCUGGAGACUGAAGUCCUUUCUUUAUUUGCAGAACAAGUACAGUUUGGGCAGCACGAGUGCAGUCUUUCUCGCACUGCCCUGCUGAUGUGUCUCAUCCCUGACUAGAAGGAACCACCUUAAGGGGUGUGAGAAUUAGUCCCCUUCAGUGCUUGAGUGGACUCCAGU